This 466-nucleotide ribosomal RNA is filed under the name uncultured bacterium. RNAcentral describes it as "bacterial SSU rRNA". It matches the Rfam family "Bacterial small subunit ribosomal RNA", at positions 30 to 521 of the family's 1533-position model. The record is from RNAcentral.
AUUGAACGCUAGCGGCACGCUUAACACAUGCAAGUCGAACGCGAGCUGUAGCAAUACAGCUUGAGUUGGCGAACGGGUGAGUAAUACGUAGGAACGUACCUUUGAGAGGGGGAUAACUAGCCGAAAGGCUAGCUAAUACCGCAUAACGGUCCUAAGGACCAAAGUCGCAAGACGCUCGAAGAGCGGCCUACGUCGGAUUAGCUUGUUGGUGAGGUAAAAGCUUACCAAGGCGACCAAUCCGUAGCUGGUCUGAGAGGAUGAUCAGCCACACUGGGACUGAGACACGGCCCAGACUCCUACGGGAGGCAGCAGUGGGGAAUCUUCGGACAAUUGGGGGCAACCCUGAUCCAGCGAUGCCGCGUGAGUGAAGAAGGCCUCGGUGUAAGACUCUUUGUUGGUAGAACGAAAUAGACGGUACCGAACACGAAUAAGACACCGGCUAACUACUCGUGCCAGCAGCCGCGGU